CACGCGACGUGUAAGGUUUAUCGUCUGAAGAUGAGGUCGCGUCCGAUUAACUAGUUGGUGAGGUAAAAGCUCACCAAGGCGACGAUCGGUAGCUGGUCUGAGAGGAUGACCAGCCACACUGGGACUGAGACACGGCCCAGACUCCUACGGGAGGCAGCAGUGGGGAAUUUUCCGCAAUGGGCGCAAGCCUGACGGAGCAAGACCGCGUGAGGGAGGAAGGCCCAAGCGGUUGUAAACCUCUUUUCUCAGGGAAGAAGAAAGUGACGGUACCUGAGGAAUCAGCCUCGGCUAACUCCGUGCCAGCAGCCGCGGUAAUACGGAGGAGGCAAGCGUUAUCCGGAAUUAUUGGGCGUAAAGCGUCCGUAGGUGGUUAUGUAAGUCUGCUGUCAAAGCACAGGGCUUAACCCUGUAAAGGCAGUGGAAACUACAAGACUCGAGUGCGGUAGGGGCAGAGGGAAUUCCCAGUGUAGCGGUGAAAUGCGUAGAGAUUGGGAA
This 495-nucleotide ribosomal RNA is filed under the name uncultured bacterium. RNAcentral's name for it is "bacterial SSU rRNA". It matches the Rfam family "Bacterial small subunit ribosomal RNA", at positions 192 to 703 of the family's 1533-position model. The record is from RNAcentral.